GCUGGCGUCACCCAGUGAAACCCUGCACGGGGGCUGCAGGCCGAGCUGCCCGCGAGUUCCCAGCGGCGCCUGCACUCCUCAGCCGUUGGGUGGUCCAUGGGACCCGCGCAACAGAGCAGGGGGUGGCGCCCGUCGGGGAGGCUCAGGCCGUGCAGGAGCCCACGGCAGAGAGAGGGGUUUGGGCAGGGUGGGUUGCAGGUCCUGAGCCCUGCCCCGCAGCGAGGCAGCUGAGGCCUGGCGAGAAUUUGAGCGCACCGUCGGCAGUGCUGGGGGACCCGGUGCAACCUCCGCAGCUGCUGGUCCGGUUGCUAAGCCCCUCACUGCCCUGGGCCGGCUCCGGCUGGCCACUCCGAGUGUGGGGCCCGCCCAGCCUGCGCCCGCCGGAAAUCGCGCUGGCCUGUGAGCGCUGCGCGCAGCCGCGGUUCCCGCCCCCGCCUCUCCCUCCACACCUGCCGGUGAGCAGAGGGAGCCGGCUCCGGCCUUGGCCACUCCAGAGAGGGGCUACCACAGUGCAGUGGCGGGCUGAAGGGCACCUCAAGUGCCACCAGAGUGGACGCCGAGGCCAAGGAGACGACGAGAGCGAAGGCUGCUGGCAGGUUGUCACCUCUCACUGGGGUCCUGCUUCAUUUCUUAACGCAUCCCUGUGAGGUGGAAUUCCAGGAUUUCAACACGGCUGCAAAGACGAGAUUUUCAACCGCACCAAGAGCUGCAGUUGCAAACACCUUGUUCAGAAAGCGGUGUUGGAGCCUGUCUAUUUCCACAGCACAGACAUUAGCAAAAGAGACUGAGUCGAUGUGGAUCGUUUAAAUUCGGAGAGAUUUGUACAUCAAUUUUAUAGCUGAUGUAGCCUCUUUCUUCCUCUCCCACAACUCCUACACUUAACAUUUUGCUUUACUAUUGUUUGGUCUCCUGUGUCAAAUAAAGCACCUUUUAUAUUUAGUACAAUAGGCCCAGUGUCGAGUUUGUCUGGUCCAAAGUGCUGUGCAAACAUUAACCCAUCCGACUCCCCUUGACCCCACGUUGCCCACCCUGUUUAAACACUACAGUUUUUCUAGAUAACCACUUGGGGCAGUAGCUAUAAAAAUUAUAGAAAGCGCAGGAGAGUUUAAGUAUCUGCUAGGGUGUGUUGCAUACUGAUGUUUCCCCUGAUGUUAAAGGUCUGAAAUCCUGAUUGUUUACAGUUCAGAAGUCUUCCGGAGAGAUGAUUAAGGGCAAGAUGCAUGAAACAGGAAGUGGCCGGAUGCCCUCUAGGAGACGAGGGCUUCUGAUGAUGGACUGUUCAAAAUAUUUCAGAAUAGCGAUAUCCAAAGAUUUUAUGACCCAAGUAGAAUUAAGCAACAAAUUCUUGAGACUCUCCAUAAAUCAAAAAUCACCUCGCCCCCAAAAUAAAAAUAUCUGGCUGAGUUUUGGGGAGUGAAGACGUUAAUUUAUGUAGAUGGCAUGUUGACUAUCGCUCGUUCUUGGGAGCCUGUGUUUUCCUCUUCCAUCUGAGGGGCGGAGCUCAUCCCUCCUUUCUGCCUUUGGAAUUUGUAAUACAUUGUAAAAAGUCCAUUCCAAUUCUAUGACAAGGAAUGGAAUUUGAGGAGUUCACAGUUGCUUUAGCUCUCUAACUUAAAAAAAAUUUUUUUUACAAAAGGACUG
This is a long non-coding RNA of Macaca mulatta (Rhesus monkey), 1641 nucleotides long. NCBI's taxonomy places the organism in Eukaryota, Metazoa, Chordata, Mammalia, Primates, Cercopithecidae. The record is from Ensembl.